RNAcentral lists this ribosomal RNA (183 nucleotides) under uncultured bacterium. RNAcentral describes it as "partial 16S ribosomal RNA". It matches the Rfam family "Bacterial small subunit ribosomal RNA", at positions 1318 to 1500 of the family's 1533-position model. The record is from RNAcentral.
GCAUGAAGCUGGAAUCGCUAGUAAUCGCAGAUCAGAAUGCUGCGGUGAAUACGUUCCCGGGUCUUGUACACACCGCCCGUCACACCAUGGGAGUUGGGAAUGCCCGAAGUCAGUGACCCAACCGCAAGGAGGGAGCUGCCGAAGGCAGGCUUGAUAACUGGGGUGAAGUCGUAACAAGGUAAC